Long non-coding RNA from Lactuca sativa (garden lettuce), 1402 nucleotides. RefSeq lists it as uncharacterized. The record is from RefSeq and is a predicted model, not a curated record. Lineage: Eukaryota; Viridiplantae; Streptophyta; Magnoliopsida; Asterales; Asteraceae.
GUGAUGGUCAUGUAUUAUCUCCUCAAAAAAUCCACCACUCAUACAUAAUUUUCUCGAUGUUCAUUCAAGUCCACAUUAGACACGUAAUUCUUCACCGCCUCCUUCUUCCGAUCAAUCUCUUCCCCCACCUUCUAAAUCGACCAACACUUCUCUGUAGGCAUUUAUCCCUUCCACCGUCUUUCUUUUCCAUCACCAUCUUCAUCUCCAACACUACUCCCACCUCUUAUCUAUCCCUUGACCGAUGAUUCGUCUUCAUCGGCCCUUGCACGAACAGUAUCUCGACGAAGAUACCAAACCACCACCACUACAACUCUACAACUGGGACCCAUCGUUAAACAUGCUUUACCGAUCCCGGAGAACGUACAACUGAAGAACCGAUUCCGCCCAUUAAGCCCUAAUUUAGUGGAGCCUAGCAAUGUUGUCGGUUCGGUGUACAACCAUGGACGACGAUUUCAUAAUGUUUCAAGGUUUCUUCGAUGUUCACCACAACCACUUGAGAAACUCGAGGCAAAAUAAUCAUGGCUGACCAUUCAGAUGAUUUAAACCAAGUGGUUUCAUAUGUUCGAAUUCUGCUCCUUUUUUUGGUUAAUGUGUCUUUUACAUUUGGCUGAAGUCUUGUGUUUAGCAUCGAAAACUACUGUUGAGGACUGUUAUUUAUGAUAAUCCACAGGCUGAUGACGAAGAUGAAUUAGUUAUGGAGCUCUCUGAAAAAGAUUUGCUCUUGGAAAAAAAGAAGUUUAGGAUUCUCAAUUUCGCAUAGUUGUAUAUGUUUCUCCACUCUAUUAUGCACUACAUUGAUUUUUAUCUUGCUAAAUGGUUUCUCAAUCUCAUCUUUCUUUACAGAAAUUAUUAGAAAUCAACCAUUUUGACCCUAAUGGAAAAGUCAAAAUCAAGAGCAUUUGUAGCAUUGAGUUACUGAAUAUGCUAAAAUCAAAAUCAACCAUUAGAAGAGAUGCUUCAGAGAGCUCGAAUCAUAAAUGCAGAUGAGUGUUUAAGAAGCUUGCACAAAGCUAAAAGUUAUGGCAACUUUUAGAAUUCUUGGGUUGAUGGCUUCCUGGUAUGCAGAAUUGUUGAGGGCCAAAGGCAAAGGUAUUCCAAGAGGCUUAAUGACCGACAAAUCCCUGCCCUUCUUGAGGUCACAUGUCACUGACGUCAGGAAAGGAAGAAGGAUAGUUUGAAGGUUCUGAUAUAGGGGUAAUUCCGUCGAAUUCAUAAUUGGCAGAAUUUAAAUUUGUGUAUUUGUAAAUUUUUAAGGUUAAAGGAAUGAUACAUGUUGGAGUGGUAUUUUAUGGAAUCAAUGUAGCUCAUCAGGAGCUCUCGAAACCAAAACUAAAGGAUUAGUUGUCUUAAGAAAUAUGUAAAAAAUGUCAUAUCCAACCCCGCAAAGUGGGGCUCUUCCCUA